This 21-nucleotide non-coding RNA is filed under the name Caenorhabditis elegans. Lineage: Eukaryota; Metazoa; Nematoda; Chromadorea; Rhabditida; Rhabditidae. The record is from RNAcentral.
UCAACUUCAGAUACGUAGUGA